GACGAACGCUGGCGGCGGGCUUAACACAUGCAAGUCGAACGGAAAGGCCCUGCUUUUGUGUGGUGCUCGAGUGGCGAACGGGUGAGUAACACGUGAGUAACCUGCCCUUGACUUUGGGAUAACUUCAGGAAACUGGGGCUAAUACCGGAUAGGAGCUCCUGCUGCAUGGUGGGGGUUGGAAAGUUUCGGCGGUUGGGGAUGGACUCGCGGCUUAUCAGCUUGUUGGUGGGGUAGUGGCUUACCAAGGCUUUGACGGGUAGCCGGCCUGAGAGGGUGACCGGCCACAUUGGGACUGAGAUACGGCCCAGACUCCUACGGGAGGCAGCAGUGGGGAAUAUUGCACAAUGGGCGGAAGCCUGAUGCAGCAACGCCGCGUGCGGGAUGACGGCCUUCGGGUUGUAAACCGCUUUCGCCUGUGACGAAGCGUGAGUGACGGUAAUGGGUAAAGAAGCACCGGCUAACUACGUG
Molecule: ribosomal RNA, 468 nt
Filed under: uncultured bacterium
Lineage: Bacteria
Description: partial 16S ribosomal RNA
Rfam family: Bacterial small subunit ribosomal RNA
Source: RNAcentral